CACAGCUCAGUCACCCGCUGGUCCCACAGGAAGCCCUGGCCAGAUAGCAUGAGCUUUGUGCAAGCCUCUGCGCCUGCCCGUAGCGGGCCAGAACCUGCACAGGGACCACUCAGUUAUUUCCCCUUCCCUUUCCCCGCCAGGUAGACCCUGUAGGACUGAGAGCUGGGGGAAGGCACUGUGAAUAUCUCUGUUAGCUUCUGCUCUUUUUGGAGGUUUUUGCAGAUGCAUCGAGUAGAGCCCAGAGCAAAUUCCUUCCUCCACCCUUGGGAGAAAGGAUCUUUUCUUUAUGUUUCUAAACAUCUGACUAAGGGGGCCUGAACCCAAUUCUGGAAAAAAAUGUCUCCUUCCCAAGCCUAGUGACCUUCCGAAGAAGCAGGUUGGGGCUUUGGUGUGGAGCAGAUAGUCUUCUUCCCCAAGGUGGCAGCCAAGGAGAGUCGGCACUAGCACAUGUUUUCCAGGAUGUGCUGGUGUGCCCUAGGGAAAGCGAAGGAGGGAAAUGUGUUGGGAAAUGAGCACAGAAAAUAGCUCUUGCUCAGUCCUGAUUUUUUUGUCCUUCAUUUAUCCCAAUUUUUGCUCUUUGAGAAAGGCUGAGGUGACAGUUUGGCUUUGAAAAGUGUCCUGGGGUCCUUUACGCUGACUGGGUGCAGCAGGAGGUAGAGGUAAGGUAUCAUGUGCGUGAGAUGGUGCCAUCCAAAACGAUAGCUUGUUGGAAAUGCCGUGACGAAUCCCUGUUUUUGCAAACAGACCUCUGAGAGCAGCUUAUCUCUCCCCCUCUGCCGUUGACCCUAUCUAGAAGAGUUCCUUCUGCUUCCUCAGAAAUGACGUUCUCCUCUUAACUCCUGCCCUCCCCCGGCUGCUCUAUCUCCUCUUCCACUCCCAAACUGCUGGCCUUGCAGCAGACAACUGCUUGGAUAUUUGCAGAGCUUUUCUGGCCUCUCCCUACACCGUGCCGUCCCCAGAGUCCCAGCUACCCUGUGUGGCCUGAAGUGACCAGGGCUGAGUGUGUAAGACCAACCUGCCCUUCUGCAGAGUCACAGCCACAAGGAUUUCAUGUCACUUGUACACCAAUAUUGCGCCUGUUCC
RNAcentral lists this long non-coding RNA (1083 nucleotides) under Apteryx rowi (Okarito brown kiwi). RNAcentral describes it as "lncRNA (ENSARWG00000004642.1)". The record is from RNAcentral. Lineage: Eukaryota; Metazoa; Chordata; Aves; Apterygiformes; Apterygidae.